UAGGGAAUCUUCCGCAAUGGACGCAAGUCUGACGGAGCAACGCCGCGUGAGUGAAGAAGGUUUUCGGAUCGUAAAACUCUGUUGUUAGAGAAGAACAAGUGCUAGAGUAACUGUUAGCGCCUUGACGGUAUCUAACCAGAAAGCCACGGCUAACUACGUGCCAGCAGCCGCGGUAAUACGUAGGUGGCAAGCGUUGUCCGGAUUUAUUGGGCGUAAAGCGAGCGCAGGCGGUUCCUUAAGUCUGAUGUGAAAGCCCCCGGCUCAACCGGGGAGGGUCAUUGGAAACUGGGGAACUUGAGUGCAGAAGAGGAGAGUGGAAUUCCAUGUGUAGCGGUGAAAUGCGUAGAUAUAUGGAGGAACACCAGUGGCGAAGGCGACUCUCUGGUCUGUAACUGACGCUGAGGCUCGAAAGCGUGGGUAGCAAACAGGAUUAGAUACCCUGGUAGUCCACGCCGUACGGUGAAUGCUAAGUGUUGGAGGGUUUCCGCCCUUCAGUGCUGCAGUUAACGCAUUAAGCACUCCGCCUGGGGAGUACGACCGCAAGGU
This 546-nucleotide ribosomal RNA is filed under the name uncultured bacterium. RNAcentral describes it as "bacterial SSU rRNA". It matches the Rfam family "Bacterial small subunit ribosomal RNA", at positions 355 to 894 of the family's 1533-position model. The record is from RNAcentral.